RNAcentral lists this ribosomal RNA (497 nucleotides) under uncultured bacterium. Its description in RNAcentral is "partial 16S ribosomal RNA". It matches the Rfam family "Bacterial small subunit ribosomal RNA", at positions 28 to 507 of the family's 1533-position model. The record is from RNAcentral.
GAUGAACGCUGGCGGCGUGCCUAAUACAUGCAAGUCGAGCGAACGGACGAGAAGCUUGCUUCUCUGAUGUUAUCGGCGGACGGGUGAGUAACACGUGGAUAACCUACCUAUAAGACUGGGAUAACUUCGGGAAACCGGAGCUAAUACCGGAUAAUAUUUUGAACCGCAUGGUUCAAAAGUGAAAGACGGUCUUGCUGUCACUUAUAGAAGGAUCCGCGCUGCAUUAGCUAGUUGGUAAGGUAACGGCUUACCAAGGCAACGAUGCAUAGCCGACCUGAGAGGGUGAUCGGCCACACUGGAACUGAGACACGGUCCAGACUCCUACGGGAGGCAGCAGUAGGGAAUCUUCCGCAAUGGGCGAAAGCCUGACGGAGCAACGCCGCGUGAGUGAUGAAGGUCUUCGGAUCGUAAAACUCUGUUAUUAGGGAAGAACAUAUGUGUAAGUAACUGUGCACAUCUUGACGGUACCUAAUCAGAAAGCCACGGCUAACUACGUG